AGAGUUUGAUCCUGGCUCAGGAUGAACGCUAGCGGCAGGCCUAACACAUGCAAGUCGAGGGGUAGUUACUUUCGGGUAAUGAGACCGGCGCACGGGUGCGUAACGCGUAUGCAAUCUACCUUUUACAGGGGAAUAGCCCAGAGAAAUUUGGAUUAAUGCCCCAUAGUAUGUAUGAAUCGCAUGGUUUAUACAUUAAAGUUCCAACGGUAAAAGAUGAGCAUGCGUCCCAUUAGUUAGUUGGUAAGGUAACGGCUUACCAAGACUAUGAUGGGUAGGGGUCCUGAGAGGGAGAUCCCCCACACUGGUACUGAGACACGGACCAGACUCCUACGGGAGGCAGCAGUGAGGAAUAUUGGACAAUGGGCGCAAGCCUGAUCCAGCCAUGCCGCGUGCAGGAAGAAGCAUCUAUGGUGUGUAAACUGCUUUUGUACAGGAAGAAACACUCCCUCGUGAGGGAGCUUGACGGUACUUAAGAAUA
Molecule: ribosomal RNA, 478 nt
Filed under: uncultured Flavobacterium sp.
Lineage: Bacteria; Pseudomonadati; Bacteroidota; Flavobacteriia; Flavobacteriales; Flavobacteriaceae
Description: bacterial SSU rRNA
Rfam family: Bacterial small subunit ribosomal RNA
Source: RNAcentral